RNAcentral lists this transfer RNA (77 nucleotides) under Clostridia bacterium. RNAcentral's name for it is "tRNA-Val". It matches the Rfam family "tRNA". Rfam says of the family: Transfer RNA (tRNA) molecules are approximately 80 nucleotides in length. Their secondary structure includes four short double-helical elements and three loops (D, anti-codon, and T loops). The record is from RNAcentral. Lineage: Bacteria; Bacillati; Bacillota; Clostridia.
GGUCGCUUAGCUCAGCUGGUUAGAGUACCACGUUGACAUCGUUGGGGCCUCUGGUUCGAAUCCAGUAGCGACCACCA